RNAcentral lists this ribosomal RNA (253 nucleotides) under uncultured Nocardioides sp. Its description in RNAcentral is "partial 16S ribosomal RNA". It matches the Rfam family "Bacterial small subunit ribosomal RNA", at positions 524 to 776 of the family's 1533-position model. The record is from RNAcentral. Lineage: Bacteria; Bacillati; Actinomycetota; Actinomycetes; Propionibacteriales; Nocardioidaceae.
UACGUAGGGUGCGAGCGUUGUCCGGAAUUAUUGGGCGUAAAGGGCUCGUAGGCGGUUUGUCGCGUCGGGAGUGAAAACACCGGGCUUAACUCGGUGCUUGCUUCCGAUACGGGCAGACUAGAGGUAUGCAGGGGAGAACGGAAUUCCUGGUGUAGCGGUGAAAUGCGCAGAUAUCAGGAGGAACACCGGUGGCGAAGGCGGUUCUCUGGGCAUUACCUGACGCUGAGGAGCGAAAGUGUGGGGAGCGAACAGG